UUGAAGCCACUCCGGCAGACAAGUCAAUUUCGCAAUAUUGUGAAACUCCACGGCAUGGAGGUUUUGAAGGCUCAAUUGAUCAGCACUGGUGUCAUAAGUGUAUAGCAGAUCCAACUUAUCACAGUCUGCAAUCUUAAUCAUCUCGAGGGAAGUUAAGUAAGGCAGGGCUCGAUCCAGAGUCACUAAGUUCGCACAAUCCAUGAUCGACAACAUCUUGACCGAAGA
Molecule: long non-coding RNA, 225 nt
Filed under: Linum usitatissimum (flax)
Lineage: Eukaryota; Viridiplantae; Streptophyta; Magnoliopsida; Malpighiales; Linaceae
Description: long non-coding RNA (LUSI_LNC000292)
Source: RNAcentral